UACAGAGGUGGCAAGCGUUGUUCGGAAUUACUGGGCGUAAAGGGCGCGUAGGCGGUUCGUCAAGUCCUGUGUGAAAUCCCCCGGCUCAACUGGGGAACUGCACAGGAAACUAGCGGGCUUGAGUUCGGGAGAGGGAAGCGGAAUUCCGGGUGUAGCGGUGAAAUGCGUAGAUAUCCGGAGGAACACCGGUGGCAAAGGCGGCUUCCUGGACCGACACUGACGCUGAGGCGCGAAAGCUAGGGGAGCAAACGGG
This 253-nucleotide ribosomal RNA is filed under the name uncultured bacterium. RNAcentral's name for it is "partial 16S ribosomal RNA". It matches the Rfam family "Bacterial small subunit ribosomal RNA", at positions 524 to 776 of the family's 1533-position model. The record is from RNAcentral.